This 467-nucleotide ribosomal RNA is filed under the name uncultured bacterium. Its description in RNAcentral is "partial 16S ribosomal RNA". It matches the Rfam family "Bacterial small subunit ribosomal RNA", at positions 29 to 507 of the family's 1533-position model. The record is from RNAcentral.
ACGAACGCUGGCGGCGUGCUUAACACAUGCAAGUCGAACGGAAAGGCCCUGCUUUUGUGGGGUGCUCGAGUGGGGAACGGGUGAGUAACACGUGAGUAACCUGCCCUUGACUUUGGGAUAACUUCAGGAAACUGGGGCUAAUACCGGAUAGGAGCUCCUGCUGCAUGGUGGGGGUUGGAAAGUUUCGGCGGUUGGGGAUGGACUCGCGGCUUAUCAGCUUGUUGGUGGGGUAGUGGCUUACCAAGGCUUCGACGGGUAGCCGGCCUGAGAGGGUGACCGGCCACAUUGGGACUGAGAUACGGCCCAGACUCCUACGGGAGGCAGCAGUGGGGAAUAUUGCACAAUGGGCGGAAGCCUGAUGCAGCAACGCCGCGUGCGGGAUGACGGCCUUCGGGUUGUAAACCGCUUUCGCCUGUGACGAAGCGUGAGUGACGGUAAUGGGUAAAGAAGCACCGGCUAACUACGUG